GACGAACGCUGGCGGCGUGCCUAAUACAUGCAAGUAGAACGCUGAAGGAGGAGCUUGCUUCUCUGGAUGAGUUGCGAACGGGUGAGUAACGCGUAGGUAACCUGCCUGGUAGCGGGGGAUAACUAUUGGAAACGAUAGCUAAUACCGCAUAAGAGUAGAUGUUGCAUGACAUUUGCUUAAAAGGUGCAAUUGCAUCACUACCAGAUGGACCUGCGUUGUAUUAGCUAGUUGGUGGGGUAACGGCUCACCAAGGCGACGAUACAUAGCCGGCCUGAGAGGGUGGUCGGCCACACUGGGACUGAGACACGGCCCAGACUCCUACGGGAGGCAGCAGUAGGGAAUCUUCGGCAAUGGACGGAAGUCUGACCGAGCAACGCCGCGUGAGUGAAGAAGGUUUUCGGAUCGUAAAGCUCUGUUGUAAGAGAAGAACGAGUGUGAGAGUGGAAAGUUCACACUGUGACGGUAUCUUACCAGAAAGGGACGGCUAACUACGUG
RNAcentral lists this ribosomal RNA (495 nucleotides) under uncultured bacterium. RNAcentral describes it as "partial 16S ribosomal RNA". It matches the Rfam family "Bacterial small subunit ribosomal RNA", at positions 28 to 507 of the family's 1533-position model. The record is from RNAcentral.